This 73-nucleotide transfer RNA is filed under the name Candidatus Woesearchaeota archaeon. RNAcentral's name for it is "tRNA-Gln". The stretch from base 6 to 67 matches the Rfam family "tRNA", at positions 6 to 65 of the family's 71-position model. Rfam says of the family: Transfer RNA (tRNA) molecules are approximately 80 nucleotides in length. Their secondary structure includes four short double-helical elements and three loops (D, anti-codon, and T loops). Lineage: Archaea; Nanobdellati; Candidatus Woesearchaeota. The record is from RNAcentral.
UCUCGCGGAAUCUAGCGGUCAAGGAUGGAGCCCUCUGGAGGCUCAGGCGGCAGUUCGAAUCUGCCCGGGGCUA